GACGAACGAGGCGGCGUGCCUAAUACAUGCAAGUAGAACGCUGAAGAGAGGAGCUUGCUCUUCUAGGAUGAGUUGCGAACGGGUGAGUAACGCGUAGGUAACCUGCCUUGUAGCGGCGGAUAACUAUUGGAAACGAUAGCUAAUACCGCAUAACAAUGGGUGACACAUGUCAUUUAUUUGAAAGGGGCAACUGCUCCACUACAAGAUGGACCUGCGUUGUAUUAGCUAGUAGGUGAGGUAACGGCUCACCUAGGCGACGAUACAUAGCCGACCUGAGAGGGUGAUCGGCCACACUGGGACUGAGACACGGCCCAGACCCCUACGGGAGGCAGCAGUAGGGAAUCUUCGGCAAUGGGGGCAACCCUGACCGAGCAGCGCCGCGUGAGUGAAGAAGGUUUUCGGAUCGUAAAGCUCUGUUGUAAGUCAAGAACGAGUGUGAGAGUGGAAAGUUCACACUGUGACGGUAGCUUACCAGAAAGGGACGGCUAACUACGUGCCAGCAGCCGCGGUAAUACGUAGGUCCCGAGCGUUGUCCGGAUUUAUUGGGCGUAAAGCGAGCGCAGGCGGUUUGAUAAGUCUGAAGUUAAAGGCUGUGGCUCAACCAUAGUUCGCUUUGGAAACUGUCAAACUUGAGUGCAGAAGGGGAGAGUGGAAUUCCAUGUGUAGCGGUGAAAUGCGUAGAUAUAUGGAGGAACACCGGUGGCGAAAGCGGCUCUCUGGUCUGUAACUGACGCUGAGGCUCGAAAGCGUGGGGAGCGAACAGG
This 764-nucleotide ribosomal RNA is filed under the name uncultured Streptococcus sp. Its description in RNAcentral is "bacterial SSU rRNA". It matches the Rfam family "Bacterial small subunit ribosomal RNA", at positions 28 to 776 of the family's 1533-position model. The record is from RNAcentral. Lineage: Bacteria; Bacillati; Bacillota; Bacilli; Lactobacillales; Streptococcaceae.